RNAcentral lists this transfer RNA (75 nucleotides) under Actinomycetota bacterium. Its description in RNAcentral is "Actinobacteria bacterium (hydrothermal vent metagenome) tRNA-Arg". It matches the Rfam family "tRNA". From Rfam's summary of the family: Transfer RNA (tRNA) molecules are approximately 80 nucleotides in length. Their secondary structure includes four short double-helical elements and three loops (D, anti-codon, and T loops). The record is from RNAcentral. Lineage: Bacteria; Bacillati; Actinomycetota.
GCCCCAGUAGCUCAGGGGAUAGAGCACCGGCCUCCGGAGCCGGGAGCGCAGGUUCGAAUCCUGCCUGGGGCACCG